UAAGGGCGCACGGUGGAUGCCUUGGCACUAGAAGCCGAUGAAGGACGUUACUAACGACGAUAUGCUUUGGGGAGCUGUAAGUAAGCUUUGAUCCAGAGAUUUCCGAAUGGGGAAACCCAGCAUGAGUUAUGUCAUGUUAUCGAUAUGUGAAUACAUAGCAUAUCAGAAGGCACACCCGGAGAACUGAAACAUCUUAGUACCCGGAGGAAGAGAAAGAAAAUUCGAUUCCCUUAGUAGCGGCGAGCGAAACGGGAAGAGCCCAAACCAACAAGCUUGCUUGUUGGGGUUGUAGGACACUCUAUACGGAGUUACAAAGGACGACAUUAGACGAAUCAUCUGGAAAGAUGAAUCAAAGAAGGUAAUAAUCCUGUAGUCGAAAAUGUUGUCUCUCUUGAGUGGAUCCUGAGUACGACGGAGCACGUGAAAUUCCGUCGGAAUCUGGGAGGACCAUCUCCUAAGGCUAAAUACUCUCUAGUGACCGAUAGUGAACCAGUACCGUGAGGGAAAGGUGAAAAGCACCCCGGAAGGGGAGUGAAAUAGAACCUGAAACCGUGUGCUUACAAGUAGUCAGAGCCCGUUAAUGGGUGAUGGCGUGCCUUUUGUAGAAUGAACCGGCGAGUUACGAUUUGAUGCAAGGUUAAGCAGUAAAUGUGGAGCCGUAGCGAAAGCGAGUCUGAAUAGGGCGUUUAGUAUUUGGUCGUAGACCCGAAACCAGGUGAUCUACCCUUGGUCAGGUUGAAGUUCAGGUAACACUGAAUGGAGGACCGAACCGACUUACGUUGAAAAGUGAGCGGAUGAACUGAGGGUAGCGGAGAAAUUCCAAUCGAACCUGGAGAUAGCUGGUUCUCUCCGAAAUAGCUUUAGGGCUAGCCUCAAGUGAUGAUUAUUGGAGGUAGAGCACUGUUUGGACGAGGGGCCCCUCUCGGGUUACCGAAUUCAGACAAACUCCGAAUGCCAAUUAAUUUAACUUGGGAGUCAGAACAUGGGUGAUAAGGUCCGUGUUCGAAAGGGAAACAGCCCAGACCACCAGCUAAGGUCCCAAAAUAUAUGUUAAGUGGAAAAGGAUGUGGCGUUGCCCAGACAACUAGGAUGUUGGCUUAGAAGCAGCCAUCAUUUAAAGAGUGCGUAAUAGCUCACUAGUCGAGUGACACUGCGCCGAAAAUGUACCGGGGCUAAACAUAUUACCGAAGCUGUGGAUUGUCCUUUGGACAAUGGUAGGAGAGCGUUCUAAGGGCGUUGAAGCAUGAUCGUAAGGACAUGUGGAGCGCUUAGAAGUGAGAAUGCCGGUGUGAGUAGUGAAAGACGGGUGAGAAUCCCGUCCACCGAUUGACUAAGGUUUCCAGAGGAAGGCUCGUCCGCUCUGGGUUAGUCGGGUCCUAAGCUGAGGCCGACAGGCGUAGGCGAUGGAUAACAGGUUGAUAUUCCUGUACCACCUAUAAUCGUUUUAAUCGAUGGGGGGACGCAGUAGGAUAGGCGAAGCGUGCGAUUGGAUUGCACGUCUAAGCAGUAAGGCUGAGUAUUAGGCAAAUCCGGUACUCGUUAAGGCUGAGCUGUGAUGGGGAGAAGACAUUG
Molecule: ribosomal RNA, 1572 nt
Filed under: Staphylococcus aureus
Lineage: Bacteria; Bacillati; Bacillota; Bacilli; Caryophanales; Staphylococcaceae
Description: partial 23S ribosomal RNA
Rfam family: Bacterial large subunit ribosomal RNA
Source: RNAcentral